Molecule: long non-coding RNA, 523 nt
Filed under: Phoenix dactylifera (date palm)
Lineage: Eukaryota; Viridiplantae; Streptophyta; Magnoliopsida; Arecales; Arecaceae
Description: long non-coding RNA (PDAC_LNC022463)
Source: RNAcentral
UUCUUCUUGAUUUAUUUUUAAAAGAAAAAUAGCUUAUUCUUCAAUCCCUGUGGACCGACACCCGUAAUCACUAUCCUACAGGAUACAUGCUAUUGCGUGGUUUAUUUUGAAAUUGAAAUAACCGAUCAUGAGUUAAGAGUUUGGAAGCUAACUUUAUAAUCCUCGGAGAGUAAAGGUUUUAGUUAGAAUUUUGUACUCGAAUUUCUAUUUGUUUUAGGGACCUUUUAAAAUAAACACCUCCCACUAUUUUUUCGAAUCUCUCACACUCCUCAGGUAGAGAAACGGAAACCUUACGACUCUAGGUUUCAAGUGGGGUGCUACGGUCCCACCAAUUUACAUGCCACCUCACCUAACAGUUAUUGAUGACACAUAAACGAUGAGUGUACAACUCUUGUACAAUGCUUCUCAAGCAAAUUGUAGCGCUAUCCGGUCUCUAAGUAAUGAAGACCUCACCUAACAGUUAUUGGCCCAAUUAACUUUAGUUAAGUCGGACCCACCGUAUAACCGCAGAAGCAAAGUCGUC